This 453-nucleotide ribosomal RNA is filed under the name uncultured bacterium. RNAcentral's name for it is "bacterial SSU rRNA". It matches the Rfam family "Bacterial small subunit ribosomal RNA", at positions 340 to 783 of the family's 1533-position model. The record is from RNAcentral.
UACGGAAGGCAGCAGUGGGGAAGUAUUGCACAAUGGGCGCAAGCCUGAUGCAGCCAUGCCGCGUGUAUGAAGAAGGCCUUCGGGUUGUAAAGUACUUUCAGUCGUGAGGAAGGUGUUAAGGUUAAUAACCUUAGCAAUUGACGUUAGCGACAGAAGAAGCACCGGCUAACUCCGUGCCAGCAGCCGCGGUAAUACGGAGGGUGCGAGCGUUAAUCGGAAUUACUGGGCGUAAAGGGCACGCAGGCGGUUAAUUAAGUUGGAUGUGAAAUCCCCGGGCUUAACCUGGGAAUGGCAUUCAAGACUGGUUAGCUAGAGUCUUGUAGAGGGGGUAGAAUUCCAUGUGUAGCGGUGAAAUGCGUAGAGAUGUGGAGGAAUACCGGUGGCGAAGGCGGCCCCUGGACAAAGACUGACGCUCAUAGUGCGAAAGCGUGGGGAGGCAAACAGGGAUUAGAU